AGACCCGAAACCCGGUGAUCUAGCCAUGGGCAGGUUGAAGGUUGGGUAACACUAACUGGAGGACCGAACCGACUAAUGUUGAAAAAUUAGCGGAUGACCUGUGGCUGGGGGUGAAAGGCCAAUCAAACCGGGAGAUAGCUGGUUCUCCCCGAAAGCUAUUUAGGUAGCGCCUCGUGAAUUCAUCUCCGGGGGUAGAGCACUGUUUCGGCUAGGGGGCCAUCCCGGCUUACCAACCCGAUGCAAACUGCGAAUACCGGAGAAUGUUAUCACGGGAGACACACGGCGGGUGCUAACGUCCGUCGUGAAGAGGGAAACAACCCAGACCGCCAGCUAAGGUCCCAAAGUCAUGGUUAAGUGGGAAACGAUGUGGGAAGGCCCAGACAGCCAGGAUGUUGGCUUAGAAGCAGCCAUCAUUUAAAGAAAGCGUAAUAGCUCACUGGUCGAGUCGGCCUGCGCGGAAGAUGUAACGGGGCUAAACCAUGCACCGAAGCUGCGGCAGCGACACUGUGUGUUGUUGGGUAGGGGAGCGUUCUGUAAGCCUGUGAAGGUGUGUCGUGAGGCAUGCUGGAGGUAUCAGAAGUGCGAAUGCUGACAUAAGUAACGAUAAAGCGGGUGAAAAGCCCGCUCGCCGGAAGACCAAGGGUUCCUGUCCAACGUUAAUCGGGGCAGGGUGAGUCGACCCCUAAGGCGAGGCCGAAAGGCGUAGUCGAUGGGAAACGGGUUAAUAUUCCCGUACUUGGUGUUACUGCGAAGGGGGGACGGAGAAGGCUAUGUUGGCCGGGCGACGGUUGUCCCGGUUUAAGCGUGUAGGUGUGUGUUCCAGGUAAAUCCGGUUCACUUUAACACUGAGGCGUGACGACGAGGCACUACGGUGCUGAAGCAACAAAUGCCCUGCUUCCAGGAAAAGCCUCUAAGCAUCAGGUAACAUCAAAUCGUACCCCAAACCGACACAGGUGGUCAGGUAGAGAAUACCAAGGCGCUUGAGAGAACUCGGGUGAAGGAACUAGGCAAAAUGGUGCCGUAACUUCGGGAGAAGGCACGCUGACACGUAGGUGAAGUGAUUUACUCAUGGAGCUGAAGUCAGUCGAAGAUACCAGCUGGCUGCAACUGUUUAUUAAAAACACAGCACUGUGCAAACACGAAAGUGGACGUAUACGGUGUGACGCCUGCCCGGUGCCGGAAGGUUAAUUGAUGGGGUCAGCGCAAGCGAAGCUCCUGAUCGAAGCCCCGGUAAACGGCGGCCGUAACUAUAACGGUCCUAAGGUAGCGAAAUUCCUUGUCGGGUAAGUUCCGACCUGCACGAAUGGCGUAAUGAUGGCCAGGCUGUCUCCACCCGAGACUCAGUGAAAUUGAACUCGCUGUGAAGAUGCAGUGUACCCGCGGCAAGACGGAAAGACCCCGUGAACCUUUACUAUAGCUUGACACUGAACAUUGAGCCUUGAUGUGUAGGAUAGGUGGGAGGCUUUGAAGCGUGGACGCCAGUCUGCGUGGAGCCGACCUUGAAAUACCACCCUUUAAUGUUUGAUGUUCUAACGUGGACCCGUAAUCCGGGUUGCGG
RNAcentral lists this ribosomal RNA (1558 nucleotides) under Salmonella enterica subsp. enterica. Its description in RNAcentral is "partial 23S ribosomal RNA". It matches the Rfam family "Bacterial large subunit ribosomal RNA", at positions 711 to 2250 of the family's 2925-position model. Lineage: Bacteria; Pseudomonadati; Pseudomonadota; Gammaproteobacteria; Enterobacterales; Enterobacteriaceae. The record is from RNAcentral.